This 303-nucleotide long non-coding RNA is filed under the name Zonotrichia albicollis (white-throated sparrow). RNAcentral describes it as "lncRNA (ENSZALG00000017696.1)". Lineage: Eukaryota; Metazoa; Chordata; Aves; Passeriformes; Passerellidae. The record is from RNAcentral.
GUUGAGAGAGGAGGUUCCUGUAAGCCUGGAACUGCAGGAGACUGUUGAGAAGGAGAAAAUAAAAGUCCACUUUCUGAGCCUCACUAAGCACCCAUAGCAGAAACCAGGAGAUGAGGAGUUGCAAGAACCCAUACCACUGGUGCUGAUGAACCCAUGAAUAUCUUCUGGCAAGGUGGAGAGCUGUCCUCAGCAGAUCCAUGGCAGGAGCUGUGCCAUUUUAAGAUGCCUUCCUUGCUCUACCUCCCAGCCCAUUUUUCCCUUCUGAAGGUAAAAAAAAAAGGUUUUCAAAAGUGACUAGGAAGA